Molecule: ribosomal RNA, 402 nt
Filed under: uncultured bacterium
Lineage: Bacteria
Description: bacterial SSU rRNA
Rfam family: Bacterial small subunit ribosomal RNA
Source: RNAcentral
UAGGGAAUAUUAGAAAUGGACGAAAGUCUGAUCUAGCAACACCGCGUGUGCGAAGAAGGCCUUUGGGCCGUAAAGCACUUUUUGGAAGGAAUAGGAAGGAAUGUACUUCCAGAAUAAGUCUCGGCUAACUACGUGCCAGCAGCCGCGGUAACACGUAGGAGGCAAACGUUAUCCGGAUUUACUGGGCGUAAAGCGCGUGUAGGUGGUACUGUAGUAGGGCGUGAAAGCUCCUGGCUCAACUGGGAGAGGCCGUUCUAAACUACAGAACUAGAGGAUGGUAGAGGGAGGUGGAAUUCCAGGUGUAGCGGUGGAAUGCGCAGAUAUCUGGAGGAACACCGGUGGCGAAGGCGGCCUCCUGGACCAUUCCUGACACUCAGACGCGAAAGCUAGGGUAGCAAACGG